ACUCAAAUGAAUUGACGGGGGCCCGCACAAGCGGUGGAGCAUGUUGUUUAAUACGUCACUAACCGUAGAACCUUACCAGGGUUUGACAUCCGCUGCUAUGCUGUGAAAGCAGCCUUCCCCGCAAGGGGACAGCGAGACAGGUGUUGCAUGGCUGUCGUCAGCUCGUGUCGUGAGAUGUUGGGUUAAGUCCCGCAACGAGCGCAACCCUCAUCCCAUGUUGCCAGCGAGUAAAGUCGGGAACUCUUGGGAAACUGCCGGGGUAACUCGGAGGAAGGUGAGGAUGACGUCAAGUCAGCAUGGCCCUUACAUCCUGGGCUACAAACAUGCUACAAUGGACGGUAGACAGAGGGAUCCGAUCCUGUGAAGGGGAGGCAAUCUCAGAAAUCCGUUCUCAGUUCGGAUUGCAGGCUGCAACUCGCCUGCAUGAAGCCGGAAUCGCUAGUAAACGCAGAUCAGCCAAGCUGCGUUGAAUACGUUCCCGGGCCUUGCACACACCGCCCGU
This 502-nucleotide ribosomal RNA is filed under the name uncultured bacterium. RNAcentral describes it as "partial 16S ribosomal RNA". It matches the Rfam family "Bacterial small subunit ribosomal RNA", at positions 899 to 1397 of the family's 1533-position model. The record is from RNAcentral.